Molecule: ribosomal RNA, 256 nt
Filed under: uncultured bacterium
Lineage: Bacteria
Description: partial 16S ribosomal RNA
Rfam family: Bacterial small subunit ribosomal RNA
Source: RNAcentral
UACGUAGGGCGCGAAGCGUUAUCCGGAAUUAUUGGGCGUAAAGAGCUCGUAGGCGGUUUGUCGCGUCUGCCGUGAAAGUCCGGGGGCUAACCUCCGGAUCUGCGGUGGGUACGGGCAGACUAGAGUGAUGUAGGGGGAGACUGGAAUUCCUGGUGUAGCGGUGGAAUGCGCAGAUAUCAGGAAGAACACCGAUGGCGAAGGCAGUUCUCUGGGCCGUAACUGACGCUGAGGAGCGAAAGCGUGGGGAGCAAACAGG